This is a long non-coding RNA of Oncorhynchus keta (chum salmon), 1191 nucleotides long. RefSeq lists it as uncharacterized. The transcript is spliced from 6 exons. The record is from RefSeq and is a predicted model, not a curated record. NCBI's taxonomy places the organism in Eukaryota, Metazoa, Chordata, Actinopteri, Salmoniformes, Salmonidae.
GCUGAAUACAACAGGUGUAGACUUUACAGUGAUAUGCUGAAUACAACAGGUGUAGGUAGACUUUACUGUGAAAUGCUGAAUACAACAGGUGUAGACUUUACAAUGAAAUGCUGAAUACAACAGGUGUAGACUUUACUGUGAUAUGCUGAAUACAACAGGUGUAGACUUUACAGUGAAAUGCUGAAUACAACAGGUGUAGACUUUACUGUGAUAUGCUGAAUACAACAGGUGUAGACUUUACUGUGAUAUGCUGAAUACAACAGGUGUAGACUUUACUGUGAUAUGCUGAAUACAACAGGUGUAGACUUUACAGUGAUAUGCUGAAUACAACAGGUGUAGACUUUACUGUGAUAUGCUGAAUACAACAGGUGUAGACUUUACUGUGAUAUGCUGAAUACAACAGGUGUAGACUUUACAGUGAAAUGCUGAAUACAACAGGUGUAGACUUUACAGUGAUAUGCUGAAUACAACAGGUGUAGACUUUACAGUGAUAUGCUGAAUACAACAGGUGUAGACUUUACUGUGAUAUGCUGAAUACAACAGGUGUAGACUUUACUGUGAUAUGCUGAAUACAACAGGUGUAGACUUUACUGUGAUAUGCUCACUUACAAUCCCUUAACCAACAAUGCAGUUUUAAGAAAAUAUGGUUAAGAAAAUAUUUACUAAAUAAAAUAAAGUAAAACAUGUAUUAUAAAAAAGUAACACAAUAAAAUACCAAUAAUGAGGCUAUUAAAAGUGGGUACCGGUACUGAGUCAAUAUGCGGGGAUACAGGUUAGUCAAGGUAAUUUGUACAGUCGUGGCCAAAAGAUUUGAGAAUGACACAAAUAUUAAUUUUCACAAAGUUUGCUGCUUCAGUGUCUUUAGGUAUUUUUGUCAGAUGUUACUAUGGAAUACUGAAGUAUAAUUACAAGCAUUUCUGUCACGCCCUGACCUUAGAGACCCUUUUUAUAUCUCUAUUUUGGUUUGGUCAGGGCGUGAGUUGGGGUGGGCAUUCUAUGUUUUGUGUUUCUAUGAUUUUCUAUUUCUAUGUUUUGGCUGGGUAUGGUUCUCAAUCAGGGACAGCUGUCUAUCGUUGUCUCUGAUUGGGAACCAUACUUAGGUACCCUUUUUCCCACUUGUGUUUGUGGGAAGUUAACUUAGCCUUAAGCUUCACGGUUUGUUUUGGUAUGGUUUAUUGGCGACAUCUACUA